UACGAAGGGGGCUAGCGUUGCUCGGAAUCACUGGGCGUAAAGCGCACGUAGGCGGAUUGUUAAGUCAGGGGUGAAAUCCUGGAGCUCAACUCCAGAACUGCCUUUGAUACUGGCGAUCUCGAGUCCGGGAGAGGUGAGUGGAACUGCGAGUGUAGAGGUGAAAUUCGUAGAUAUCAGGAGGAACACCUAUGGCGAAGGCAGCUCUCUGGUACGUGACUGACGCUGAGACGCGAAAGCGUGGGUAGCAAACAGG
This 253-nucleotide ribosomal RNA is filed under the name uncultured bacterium. Its description in RNAcentral is "partial 16S ribosomal RNA". It matches the Rfam family "Bacterial small subunit ribosomal RNA", at positions 524 to 776 of the family's 1533-position model. The record is from RNAcentral.